Long non-coding RNA from Populus euphratica (Euphrates poplar), 462 nucleotides. RefSeq lists it as uncharacterized. The transcript is spliced from 2 exons. The record is from RefSeq and is a predicted model, not a curated record. Lineage: Eukaryota; Viridiplantae; Streptophyta; Magnoliopsida; Malpighiales; Salicaceae.
UGAAAACAAAUGGAGGCACAUAAGAGAAGAUGACGAUGUAGGAGAGGAGUCGUCUCUUGCAAUGAACAAUGAGAAAUGUUGCAAAGUUUAUCAUGAUCGGUGCCAUUAUAACUCAGGUCGAUAAAAGUUCAUCCCUUGAGUACCAUCAAAUUGUCCUAUGGUAUUGGUAGUUGUAAUUUCUAGGGUGACUUGCUGUGAAACCGUUGUUGGAUGAUUUCUUCAUGACUCGAUCCAACUUGCAAUGUUUUUUGCCCUCGCUUGCAAAUGGUUGCUUAUCUUCUCCGUAGACAUUCCAGCUUCAGUUAUCGUGCGCAAAGUCAUCCCAUAAACUCAGCUCAUGUGUUACUGCAGUCGAUGCUGAUUCUCACAUCAAGCUUUUGAACAUUUAAACAAAGCUUUCGAAUGCAACUUUAAUUUUGCUUGGCGUCACUGUCAAUUCUUGGUCUUAUUCCUUUUCAGCUA